CAAGCGGUGGAACAUGUGGUUCAAUUCGACGCAACGCGAAGAACCUUACCUGGGCUUGAACCGCUACUGACCAACGGUAGAAAUAUCGUCUUCCCGCAAGGGACAGUAGUAGAGGUGCUGCAUGGCUGUCGUCAGCUCGUGCCGUGAGGUGUUGGGUUAAGUCCCGCAACGAGCGCAACCCUUAUUCGUAGUUGCCACCCGCAAGGGGGAACUCUACGAGGACUGCUCCGGAUAACGGAGAGGAAGGUGGGGAUGACGUCAAGUCAGCACGGCCUUUAUGUCCAGGGCUACACACGUGUUACAAUGCACGGUACAGACUGUUGCGAACCCGCGAGGGGGAGCUAAUCGGAUAAAACCGUGCUCAGUUCGGAGUUGCAGUCUGCAACUCGACUGCAUGAAGCUGGAAUCGCUAGUAAUGGCGUAUCAGAUCGACGCCGUGAAUACGUUCCCCGGGCCUUAUACACACC
Molecule: ribosomal RNA, 467 nt
Filed under: uncultured bacterium
Lineage: Bacteria
Description: bacterial SSU rRNA
Rfam family: Bacterial small subunit ribosomal RNA
Source: RNAcentral